GACGAACGCUGGCGGCGUGCUUAACACAUGCAAGUCGAGCGGUAAGGCCCUUUCGGGGGUACACGAGCGGCGAACGGGUGAGUAACACGUGGGUGACCUGCCCUCAGCUCUGGGAUAAGCCUGGGAAACUGGGUCUAAUACUGGAUAUGACUCCACGGUGCAUGUCGUGGGGUGGAAAGCCUUGUGCGGCUGAGGAUGGGCCCGCGGCCUAUCAGCUUGUUGGUGGGGUGAUGGCCUACCAAGGCGACGACGGGUAGCCGGCCUGAGAGGGCGACCGGCCACACUGGGACUGAGACACGGCCCAGACUCCUACGGGAGGCGGCAGUGGGGAAUCUUGCGCAAUGGGCGAAAGCCUGACGCAGCGACGCCGCGUGAGGGAUGACGGCCUCGG
RNAcentral lists this ribosomal RNA (391 nucleotides) under uncultured bacterium. RNAcentral's name for it is "bacterial SSU rRNA". It matches the Rfam family "Bacterial small subunit ribosomal RNA", at positions 28 to 420 of the family's 1533-position model. The record is from RNAcentral.